UCAAAAUUCUUUGGGCGGCAUCCAGGGAAAGGGUGUUAGAGCAUCUACCCGCAUUAGAGGAAAGGGGGUAACCCGGAAUAUCAGUCAGAGAGCCUGCACAGAAAGAACCAUAACCAGUCCCAUACUCGCCCUGGUCGAGAAUAGGGACAAUGUGGAAACCGUUGCGAACAAGAACGGACCACUGGCGCCAAGAGCCAUCCAUCUCCCGAUAGAAGGAUGGGGCACUCUUCUCCUCAAGAGGAGAAGGAAAGGAGUACUUCUCCUCCGUCUCAGGAGGGUAACCUAAAGGAGAGUCCUCUAAAAUGUGAACGUUCUGACUACAGACUUCGGGAGGAAGUUGAGAAGAACCGUCUGUAGUCACGGAUGGAUCCUCCGUAAUAGGAACCUCCUCACGAAUGGUAGACAAAAUAAUUGUAGGAGGAGGAGUCCUAACGACGGAGGGAGGGGUGCCUCCAAUUUCUACAUCCCGCUCUGGAGAAGAGGAGCUGUAGUAGGAAGAACCCGAGCUUCCCGAGCUGGAUGUAGAAGACCCCGAACUGGAACGUGCGGGGGAAGAAUGGGGAGAACCUACAAACGAAAAGAUAACAAACAAAGGGUAAGUUACGAAAGAAAAAAUAAUAAUAACUUACUAGGUACGGGCUUGCGCGUACGACGAGAAAGAGCUUUUCGCUUACUUCCAACAGGUAAGGAGGAAGGCGAAUCAACUCUAGACUCUGUUACGGCAGGAGCAGCCUGAACCUCGGUGGGAGCAGACUCUGAUUCAGCAGGAGCAGCCUGAACCUCGGGGGGAACAGACUCUGUUACGGCGGGACCAGCCUGAGGAGCCUGAGGGCUGAUAACAACAGCCCUCUCCUCAUUGAGAGGAAGAUCUUGCUGCGAAUCCUUGUCAGAAGACAUUAUGAACCUGCACGAAUAACAUAGUAGUCAGCCAAAGUUAUGGCAAAAGUCGAUCCCAAGAAAAGUCGACUUAGCAGCAUAAGGGAACUCGACCUCAGAAGUCGAUCCCAGGGAAGUCGACUCCAGAAGUCGAUCCCAGGAAAGUCGACCUUCAGGAGACAAGGGUCUCAGGAAGUCGACCCCAGUAAAUUCGAACCAAGGGAAGCACUUCGGGAUCGCAAAGGCUAUACCCAGGGAAGUCGAUCCCAGUAAAAAUGGAUCCAACUUUGAAAAGUCGAUGACAAGGCGUCAAACCUCAUAAAGUCGGACCACAGUCCAAAGGGGAACAACUUCGAAAAGGACCGACUUUUAGAAAAAUCGGACCCCAAGGAAGUCGAACCCGGUGCAACUCCAAAAGAGCCCGACAAAGAAAGUCGGACCCCAGAAAGCUGUACCUCCAAGGCUCAAGUCGAAGCCUCACGCACGCUGGAAGUCGAAGCGAAGAAGCGGGAUGUCGAAGCGAGAUGACGAAGCGAAGAAGCCUGAAAGUCGAUGCGAGAAAGUCGAUCGGUCGGAGCGAAGAAAACGAGUGGGAAACAAAUGAACCCCCUCCGCUAUUUAUAGGGGAAAGUCGAAGACGAACCGUCGCGGGCAUUUCCAGGGAGAAAUGAGAUUGACUCGUUGUCAAAAACCCGACAUCUUCAGAA
Molecule: long non-coding RNA, 1583 nt
Filed under: Zostera marina
Lineage: Eukaryota; Viridiplantae; Streptophyta; Magnoliopsida; Alismatales; Zosteraceae
Description: long non-coding RNA (ZMAR_LNC004689)
Source: RNAcentral